UGGCAGCCAGCACCGGACUGCUCCUUGCAGAUGUAGUCCCACCUUCCUCACUAUGCCGGGCAUCUCCGAAAAACGUAGAGCCGAGGGAGGCCCAGCGUGAUUUCGGCACCAUUGCUUUCUGAACAAAGGUUACAUAAAUGAACGCUGCCAGACCCUCCAAACGUGGAGUAACGCGGAGCAAAUGGGCAGGAAUCUCGGAGAACAGAGCGGCAGGGGGAGCUCCAGCCUGCCUGUGGACAGGAGCGAGGGAAAACCAGAGGAAAACAACCUCCCCCAGGUCCCUGCUCCGCACUAGCUGCCAUGUCAGUGAGUAAAUAUGUGACUAAACCCAAUUAAAUGUUUAGUCUGAGGGCAGCAGAUGAUAGCGGUGGAGAUGGCGGUUUUCUGUGGGUUAUCGGACUGAUUCUGACAGCCGCGGGUGCGUUUGCGGUGCUGAGCUGUUCCCAGGCCCCCAAAGACAGCUCCCAGUUCAUAGAAAGCUCCUUAUAAAAAUGUCACUGCUGUGCAGGGAAUGUGUGAAGUAGACAAGCAUGCAGCACAUUAGUGGAGGACUGUCCCAACCUUUCAGAAAACCUAGGUCAGGAUUGCUAAGAGAAUCAAAACUGUCCAUGGAAGAAGAGAGUCAGGAGUGCUGUGUGAUACAUUCAGAAUGCUGCUCUACCUUCUGCCCACAGAAGAUGACAACAGAAGUGCAACAAAAUCAGCAAGAGGAACACCUAAUCUUUGCGUAGUAGCUCAAGUCUUAUGUACUCAACAGUUCAGCUAUAUAGUUCAGUAUCAAUGUGACUCAUGUAGCCUGUCUUUGAACGCAUCUACUUCUGACCACUCUGGUUUUCCUUCCUACUCACCUUUGACCUUCUUCUCCCUUUUUGGCUCUCUCCUCUUUACUUACCUUGGUGCAAAAAAGGGAGGAAACAUCCUGGUUGUCACCUCCAGCUGGAGCUGUACCUCUUCCUGUCCAUGAUGACAACUAACAUGAUUAUCAGUAUCAGUUCUUAGUGUAGCCAUUGAGUGUCCUCAUUCACUAAUGAUCCAAUACAGCUUGCAGGGGACAGGAGAGUUUCAAGGAGAUCUUUUCAAGAUGCCUGCAGGUUCAGGAAGUUCAAAUCAUCACAUCUGCUUUCCCUGUAUUUACUGUCACACUUUUCUAGCAUAAGGAAGGCUAGAAAUCCACUGUUGUUCUGCCCACUCUUUCAGACAAGGCAAGAAAUUGCUUGCUAAACACCCCUGCUCUAAUCCUGCAUAGCUUUCAUGACAACUUUUAUUAAACUACUCUGUUACGAAAGUAAAUAAUUACUGGGGACAAAACACAUCUUUAAGUACCUAUAUUUGUUGCAAACAACAUUUGCUAUUGUUUGACUCUCCUUUUUCAAGUUGAGAGACACUAAAAAUAAACACCACUUCCCUCCACUAACAGUAUCUGGGGAGAGAAAAGA
Neopsephotus bourkii (Bourke's parrot) is the source of this 1436-nucleotide long non-coding RNA. RefSeq lists it as uncharacterized. The record is from RefSeq and is a predicted model, not a curated record. The transcript is spliced from 2 exons. Lineage: Eukaryota; Metazoa; Chordata; Aves; Psittaciformes; Psittacidae.